UACAGAGGGUGCGAGCGUUGUUCGGAAUUACUGGGCGUAAAGCGUGCGCAGGCGGUUAUGUCAGACAGGUGUGAAAUCCCCGGGCUUAACCUGGGAACUGCAUUUGUGACUGCAUAGCUAGAGUACGGUAGAGGGGGAUGGAAUUCCGCGUGUAGCAGUGAAAUGCGUAGAUAUGCGGAGGAACACCGAUGGCGAAGGCAAUCCCCUGGACCUGUACUGACGCUCAUGCACGAAAGCGUGGGGAGCAAACAGG
Molecule: ribosomal RNA, 253 nt
Filed under: uncultured bacterium
Lineage: Bacteria
Description: partial 16S ribosomal RNA
Rfam family: Bacterial small subunit ribosomal RNA
Source: RNAcentral